AGAAUCAACGCUGGCGGCGUGCCUAACACAUGCAAGUCGCACGAGAAAGGGGCUUCGGCCCUGAGUAAAGUGGCGCACGGGUGAGUAACACGUGAAUCAUCUACCUCCGAGUGGGGAAUAACCUAGAGAAAUCUGGGCUAAUACCGCAUAACACUUACGAGUCAAAGCAGCAAUGCGCUUGGAGAGGAGUUCGCGGCAGAUUAGUUAGUUGGCGGGGUAAUGGCCCACCAAGACGAUGAUCUGUAUCCGGCCUGAGAGGGCGCACGGACACACUGGAACUGAAACACGGUCCAGACUCCUACGGGAGGCAGCAGUGGGGAAUUUUGCGCAAUGGGGGAAACCCUGACGCAGCAACGCCGCGUGGAGGAUGAAAUAUCUUGGUAUGUAAACUCCUUUCGAUGGGGAAGAUAAUGACGGUACCCAUAGAAGAAGCCCCGGCUAACUUCGUGCCAGCAGCCGC
This 460-nucleotide ribosomal RNA is filed under the name uncultured bacterium. RNAcentral describes it as "SSU rRNA". It matches the Rfam family "Bacterial small subunit ribosomal RNA", at positions 26 to 518 of the family's 1533-position model. The record is from RNAcentral.